GACGAACGCUGGCGGCGUGCUUAACACAUGCAAGUCGAACGGAAAGGCCCUGCUUUUGUGGGGUUCUCGAGUGGCGAACGGGUGAGUAACACGUGAGUAACCUGCCCUUGACUUUGGGAUAACUUCAGGAAACUGGGGCUAAUACCGGAUAGGAGCUCCUGCUGCAUGGUGGGGGUUGGAAAGUUUCGGCGGUUGGGGAUGGACUCGCGGCUUAUCAGCUUGUUGGUGGGGUAGUGGCUUACCAAGGCUUUGACGGGUAGCCGGCCUGAGAGGGUGACCGGCCACAUUGGGACUGAGGUACGGCCCAGACUCCAACGGGAGGCAGCAGUGGGAAAUAUUGCACAAUGGGCGGAAGCCUGAUGCAGCAACGCCGCGUGCGGGAUGACGGCCUUCGGGUUGUAAACCGCUUUCGCCUGUGACGAAGCGUGAGUGACGGUAAUGGGUAAAGAGGCACCGGCUAACUACGUG
This 468-nucleotide ribosomal RNA is filed under the name uncultured bacterium. RNAcentral's name for it is "partial 16S ribosomal RNA". It matches the Rfam family "Bacterial small subunit ribosomal RNA", at positions 28 to 507 of the family's 1533-position model. The record is from RNAcentral.